Molecule: long non-coding RNA, 967 nt
Organism: Gorilla gorilla gorilla (western lowland gorilla)
Lineage: Eukaryota; Metazoa; Chordata; Mammalia; Primates; Hominidae
Exons: 3
Source: RefSeq, a predicted model, not a curated record
CAUGUGGGCGAGAACCUCGGGAUAAUCUUAUCUAUGCGUUUAUGACCAAGGUCCUCUUUCAGAGCUACCUGUUCAGCUGUUCCCGACUGGAGGCUCCCGUGCAGCAUUCACGGAGGAGCGAGAACUCCUCUUUCCCUCACUUGACUGCUUUUAUAGGAGGCACUUAAUAUGCAAAAUAGGCUCCUUCUGCCCAAAGUGGAGUAAACGUUUUAGUGUGGUGGUUCAGUAUUUAUUUCCUGGUGUCCAGUGGCUCUGUCAUGGUGAUAAAAAGAGUGGGCAAGGAAAAGAUGCAGUCGGCUCCAUUUCUGGCUGCGUCCCCUGCUAUGUGGAUGGUGUGCGGGGUGAGUUAGAUAAGGGAGGGGUCAGAGCACUUAACUUGCGGGAGCCAAGAAAUCGCUGGUACUUGAUGGCUGUUUCAGAGAAGGAAACAACAUUCCUCUGAUGCUAUAACUGGUGCUUCUGAGAGCAAAAUGUCAGGGAGGAGAGAAGCAUGGCCUCUUGAGACAAACCCAGGCUGCGAAGAAUGUAAGCUCUGGUCUCACUUUGCGUUCCAGCCAAACACCUAAGGGCUCCUUUCUAUGACCAAAGGAAUAUCAACAAAGUGAAGCUGUGUUCUCCUCACUGCAUCCCGUCAGGAGAAUUCCUCACUGAUUAAAAUCUGGUUGCAAAACAAGGGACCUAGAGAGAUGUUCACUUCACCACUUCUCUACAGAUGCCUCCUGCUGCUUCCAACUUUUCUCCUUUAAGGCAGGGUGAAUCUAAAUCAUGGUCUCAGCCCUGAAGGAGGCACCAAAGCAGUUUCGUUGCCCUGUGAAAAGCUUCUAGAGGAGCCCAUCUGAAUGCUUGAAGAAACCAGCCGCCCUUGCAAUUACCUAAAAGGAAUUGAGUCAUUUUAACAAGACAUUAUUUCUGCCAUCCACGGUCACAAUCAUCUCUUUGAAAAAUAAAUACUCUUGGUUUGUUGUUU